GGCCGGGCCGGGCCGGGCCGGGCUUGGCCCGGCCAGGCGGGAGGAGGGUAGUCUCGGGGAGGAGCUUAGGGGUGCUGGGUGGUAACCAAGUACUAGAACUGGUUCUGUGCUUUUCUAGGGCAUGUGAGCUAGGGAGGGGUAUUUGAGCAGAAGCCAGAAAGAGAGUUUGUGCAGGAGUUACCUGCAGUUGUUAGAAAUUAGAGUGCUGUAUGUAUACAAGGUAUUCGGAUUGGAUAUGCACACCCCACCUCUCGGAACUGAGGGGUGAAGAUGUUAAUCUACAAAAUUUCCUUAAACUGCAGAAGCCCCAAGACCUCUUGAUUCAUUGAUCUUUCCUAGGGCAACCCAGAACUUAAUAGCGUUAAAAUCUCUUUUUCGUCGUCAUUGAAGUAAAAUGACAGCAUCUUUCAUGUAGUGCAAUAUUUUGGAAUUUUACUUCCUAAUUUACCUCUUUGCCGAAUUGAUAUUUUAUUUGGACUUCGGGCACUGCAAAGAAAUAUGCCCAAGAACCAGGAGUGCUGAUGUCCAAGAACAGGAGGAAAUGAACAAGCGGAGAAAAGAAGGAGAAAAUACACCCACUCUUCCUCUACCUUUUUGCUCUCUUCUGGCACUCAACAAUUGAAUGAUGCCCACCCACAUCAAAGAGUAACUUGAUAUGGUUCAGCUGACCUGUAAGAUCAUUCUCUGGAAGUUGACUUCUAAUUCCCUAACAUUGGAGCCUUAUUAUACCGAAUGUCUGGAAUGGACUUUUACAGAUUCAAGAAGAAUGAGCAAAUAUAGAUGAGCACAAAGAAGCUAAGACCGCCCACCAUCCACAGCUCACAGACAGCUGUUAUUAACAUCCCUCCAUUUCCUCUUCUUUUCAAGUUUAUACAGUAACAACAAUGAAGAUGGAGCAUCUUACUGUGCUGCUUUUUAAGUUCUGUAUCUCUCCAUGGGUCAGCUGCAUCCUCAGGCUGGGAGGGAACUGGAUGCAGCAAUCAGACAUAUGAUCCAUGAAAAUAU
Zalophus californianus (California sea lion) is the source of this 1005-nucleotide long non-coding RNA. RefSeq lists it as uncharacterized. The transcript is spliced from 6 exons. The record is from RefSeq and is a predicted model, not a curated record. NCBI's taxonomy places the organism in Eukaryota, Metazoa, Chordata, Mammalia, Carnivora, Otariidae.